RNAcentral lists this ribosomal RNA (406 nucleotides) under uncultured bacterium. Its description in RNAcentral is "partial 16S ribosomal RNA". It matches the Rfam family "Bacterial small subunit ribosomal RNA", at positions 30 to 526 of the family's 1533-position model. The record is from RNAcentral.
AUUGAACGCUGGCGGCAGGCCUAACACAUGCAAGUCGAACGAGUGGCGGACGGGUGAGUAAUGUCUGGGAAACUGCCUGAUGGAGGGGGAUAACUACUGGAAACGGUAGCUAAUACCGCAUACCAUCAGAUGUGCCCAGAUGGGAUUAGCUAGUUGGUGGGGUAACGGCGCACCAAGGAGACGAUCCCUAGCUGGUCGGAGAGGAUGACCAUCAACACUGGAACUUGGCCACGGUCCAUACUCCUACGGGAGGGAGCGGUGGGGAAUAUUGCACAAGUGGCGCAAGCCUGAUGCCGCCAUGCCGCGUGUAUGAAGAAGGCCUUCGGGUUGUAAAGUACGUUCAGCGGGGAGGCGUUAUCCGCAGAAGAAGCACCGGCGAACCCCGGGCCCGCAGCCGCGGUAAUUC